Molecule: ribosomal RNA, 549 nt
Filed under: uncultured bacterium
Lineage: Bacteria
Description: bacterial SSU rRNA
Rfam family: Bacterial small subunit ribosomal RNA
Source: RNAcentral
AGGGAAUCUUCGGCAAUGGACGGAAGUCUGACCGAGCAACGCCGCGUGAGUGAAGAAGGUUUUCGGAUCGUAAAGCUCUGUUGUAAGAGAAGAACGAGUGUGAGAGUGGAAAGUUCACACUGUGACGGUAUCUUACCAGAAAGGGACGGCUAACUACGUGCCAGCAGCCGCAGUAAUACGUAGGUCCCGAGCGUUGUCCGGAUUUAUUGGGCGUAAAGCGAGCGCAGGCGGUUAGAUAAGUCUGAAGUUAAAGGCUGUGGCUUAACCAUAGUACGCUUUGGAAACUGUUUAACUUGAGUGCAAGAGGGGAGAGUGGAAUUCCAUGUGUAGCGGUGAAAUGCGUAGAUAUAUGGAGGAACACCGGUGGCGAAAGCGGCUCUCUGGCUUGUAACUGACGCUGAGGCUCGAAAGCGUGGGGAGCAAACAGGAUUAGAUACCCUGGUAGUCCACGCCGUAAACGAUGAGUGCUAGGUGUUAGACCCUUUCCGGGGUUUAGUGCCGUAGCUAACGCAUUAAGCACUCCGCCUGGGGAGUACGACCGCAAGGUUG